GCUUGUGGAUCUGCUAAUCUCCUUUUAAAAUAAGAUUCGCGCAACACAGAUACACAAAUUCGAUUCAGAAAACAUAAUCAGUAGCCAAAACGAGAGAAAUUGCGCCCAAUCAAACGCACUUCAGAUUUCAUUGUUUAAACAUAAAUUCGAUAGAGAAAACAUAAUCAGUAGCCAAAACGAGAGAAAUACUAUAUUUUCUUCUUAAAUAAUUUUAUUGUCACGUGGGUCACCGACCUCACUACAUAAU
Molecule: long non-coding RNA, 247 nt
Organism: Arabidopsis thaliana (thale cress)
Lineage: Eukaryota; Viridiplantae; Streptophyta; Magnoliopsida; Brassicales; Brassicaceae
Product: other RNA
Exons: 1
Source: RefSeq